RNAcentral lists this ribosomal RNA (320 nucleotides) under uncultured eukaryote. RNAcentral describes it as "partial 18S ribosomal RNA". It matches the Rfam family "Eukaryotic small subunit ribosomal RNA", at positions 1470 to 1796 of the family's 1831-position model. The record is from RNAcentral.
CCCUUAGAUGUUCUGGGCCGCACGCGCGCUACACUGAUUCAUGCAACAAGUUUUGUCCUUGGCUGAUAGGCCUGGGUAAUCUUUGAACGUGAAUCGUGAUGGGGAUAGAUGAUUGCAAUUAUUCAUCUUCAACGAGGAAUUCCUAGUAAACGCAAGUCAUCAGCUUGCAUUGAUUACGUCCCUGCCCUUUGUACACACCGCCCGUCGCACCUACCGAUUGAAUGGUCCGGUGAAAUCUCGGGACGGCGGCUUGGUCGCUUGCGUCCGACUGCUGAAACUUGAUUAAACCAUACCAUUUAGAGGAAGGUGAAGUCGUAACA